UUCAACGGAGAGUUUGAUCCUGGCUCAGGAUGAACGCUGGCGGCGUGCUUAACACAUGCAAGUCGAACGAUGAUCUCAGCUUGCUGGGGGAUUAGUGGCGAACGGGUGAGUAACACGUGAGUAACCUGCCCUUGACUCUGGGAUAAGCCUGGGAAACUGGGUCUAAUACCGGAUACGACCAUCUGGCGCAUGUCAUGGUGGUG
RNAcentral lists this ribosomal RNA (203 nucleotides) under Paenarthrobacter nitroguajacolicus. Its description in RNAcentral is "partial 16S ribosomal RNA". It matches the Rfam family "Bacterial small subunit ribosomal RNA", at positions 1 to 202 of the family's 1533-position model. The record is from RNAcentral. Lineage: Bacteria; Bacillati; Actinomycetota; Actinomycetes; Micrococcales; Micrococcaceae.